CAAUAGCGUAUAUUAAAGUUGUUGCAGUUAAAAAGCUCGUAGUUGGAUUUGUGGCGUACGGUGUGUUCCGGGCACUUGUUGUCUGAGUAACCUGCUGUUGCCAUCCUUGGGUGGAACCUGUGUGGCAUUAGGUUGUCGUGCAGGGGAUGCCCAUCAUUUACUGUGAAAAAAUUAGAGUGUUCAAAGCAGGCUUAUGCCGUUGAAUAUAUUAGCAUGGAAUAAUGAGAUAGGACUUUUUUGCUAUUUUGUUGGUUUGCGCAAAGAGGUAAUGAUUAAUAGGGACAGUUGGGGGUAUUCGUAUUCCAUUGUCAGAGGUGAAAUACUUGGAUUUUUGGAAGACGAACUACUGCGAAAGCAUUUACCAAGGAUGUUUUCAUUAA
RNAcentral lists this ribosomal RNA (380 nucleotides) under uncultured eukaryote. RNAcentral's name for it is "partial 18S ribosomal RNA". It matches the Rfam family "Eukaryotic small subunit ribosomal RNA", at positions 592 to 976 of the family's 1831-position model. The record is from RNAcentral.